GCUGGCGGCAGGCCUAACACAUGCAAGUCGAGCGGUAACAUUUCUAGCUUGCUAGAAGAUGACGAGCGGCGACGGGUGAGUAACGCGUAGAAAUCUACCUAGUAGUGGGGGAUAGCCCAGAGAAAUUUGGAUUAAUACCGCAUACGCCCUACGGGGGAAAGCGGGGGAUCUUCGGACCUCGUACUAUUAGAUGAGUCUGCGUCGGAUUAGCUUGUUGGUGAGGUAAUGGCUCACCAAGGCGACGAUCCGUAGCUGGUCUGAGAGGAUGACCAGCCACACUGGAACUGAGACACGGUCCAGACUCCUACGGGAGGCAGCAGUGGGGAAUAUUGCACAAUGGGCGCAAGCCUGAUGCAGCCAUGCCGCGUGUGUGAAGAAGGCCUUAGGGUUGUAAAGCACUUUCAGCAGUGAGGAAAGGGGUGUCGUUAAUAGCGCCAUCCUGUGACGUUAACUGCAGAAGAAGGACCGGCUAACUCCGUG
Molecule: ribosomal RNA, 480 nt
Filed under: uncultured bacterium
Lineage: Bacteria
Description: bacterial SSU rRNA
Rfam family: Bacterial small subunit ribosomal RNA
Source: RNAcentral